This 484-nucleotide ribosomal RNA is filed under the name uncultured bacterium. Its description in RNAcentral is "partial 16S ribosomal RNA". It matches the Rfam family "Bacterial small subunit ribosomal RNA", at positions 29 to 523 of the family's 1533-position model. The record is from RNAcentral.
AGUGAACGCUGGCGGCGUGCUUAACACAUGCAAGUCGAACGAGAACGGGUUAUAGCUUGCUAUAAUUGUCAGCUAAGUGGCGCACGGGUGAGUAAUGUAUAGGUAAUAUGCCUCUUACUAAGGGAUAACAAAUGGAAACGUUUGCUAAUACCUUAUACUCCUUAUUAACAUAAGUUAAUAAGGAAAAGAUUUAUUGGUAAGAGAUUAGCCUGUAUUGUAUCAGUUAGUUGGUGGGGUAAUGGCUUACCAAGACUAUGACACAUAACUGGUUUGGGAGGAUGAUCAGUCACACUAGAACUGAGACACGGUCCAGACUUCUACGGGAGGCAGCAGUGGGGAAUAUUGCACAAUGGACGAAAGUCUGAUGCAGCAACGCCGCGUGGAGGAUGACACAUUUCGGUGCGUAAACUCCUUUUAUAUGAGAAGAUAAUGACGGUAUUAUAUGAAUAAGCACCGGCUAACUCCGUGCCAGCCGCCGCCGUAA